Molecule: long non-coding RNA, 1685 nt
Filed under: Ornithorhynchus anatinus (platypus)
Lineage: Eukaryota; Metazoa; Chordata; Mammalia; Monotremata; Ornithorhynchidae
Description: lncRNA (ENSOANG00000049336.1)
Source: RNAcentral
GCGCUUAAUAAACACCAACAUUAUCAUCAUCACCUCCCCCAGCGCUUCGAUCGGUGCUCGGCACCUAGAAAGCGCUUAACAAACACCCCCAUCAUCAUCAUCUCCCCUAACGUUCAGAAGCGUGCUCGGCCGCUCGCAAGCGCUGGACAAAGCGGCCCCCGUUAUCACCAUCACCUCCCCCCGCGCCUCGAAAGGGCGGGAGAAAGGGCACCGUGCCCAUGGCGACCGUUUCCACGGAAACGAGGGGCGGGGCGGGGCUCCUCCCCGGGCUGCCUCAGUUUCCCGCCGCCCGUGGGGCCCCGCGCGGGGCCGGCCCUCCCUCCCUCCCUCCCCCCCCUCCACGAAGCGCUGUGCGCCUACCGCUCGUCGUCGUCGUCGUCGUCGUCGUCGUCGUCGUCCUCCCUCCCUCCUCCCUCCGCCUCAGGCUCCCGCCCGCUCCCGGCCUGCCCCGCGCGCCCACGUGCCGCGCCCCUUCCGCCCGGCGCGCGGCGCGCGCAGCCGGCCGGGGGCCUUCCGGGUCGGGGCGGCCGCGGCGGCCGCUGGGUAACCGCCUCCUCCCCCCCCCCUCCCCGCCCGCCCCCGGGGCGCGCGCGCGCGCGCGCGCGGCCUCCCUCCCCCUCCUCCCCCGCCCCCGCGCCCCCGGCCCUCCACCAAUCAGCGGGCCGGCAGGGAGGGACAUGCGCAGUGGGCGCCUCCCCUCUCCUCCAGCCCAGCCCCCCCCCCACCUCCUCCUCCUGUCUCUCUCUCCUGUCUCUCCCUCCUGUCUCUCCUGUCUCUCCUGUCUCUCCCCCCUCCCCUCCCUUUCCCCCCCCCACCCCCCCACCCCCCCUUGCAGCAGCAGCAGCAGAGGAGGAGGAUGAGGAGGAGGAGGGGAGAGAGGCAGGCUGGGGGGGGCCUCCUUUGAUUGCUCUUUUUUUUUCCCAAGGACCAGCCCCCCCCCCCCACCCAGUUGGAGCCCCCCCCCCCCACUUCCACCUUGAAUUGGGGGGGGGGGGUGAGGGUGGGGAGGAUGCAGGGCAGGACAGGCCCACUUGCCACCCUCCACCCCUGAGCCCUGGGGGGGUGGGGGGGAGGGAAGAGAGAGAGCCAAGGAAGAAGAGGAGCAGUUCUUUUUCUUCUUCUGCCCCCCCCAUCCUCUUCCUCCUCCCUGCAGCCCCCCAGGAUUGGAAGGGGGAGCCCCAAAGCCUCCUAGCAACCCAGCCUGGGCUGCUGCUUGGUCCUGGCUGGAGACACUCACAGACUCACACACACACACACACACACACACACACACACACAUCUCUACUGGGAGACCCAGGAAAAGCCACUCCUCCCCACCCCCUUCCCUCUCCCCCCCCCUUUAUUACCCUUUGUGUCAUCCUCCACAGCUCCAGGGAUGAGGGACUCUGGAAGUGGGGAGCAGGAAAGGUUGGAUUUGCGAAUCUGAUGCCUCAAGACGUGGAAAUGCCACCGGUCUUUUCGGCUUCCCUGUCUUCUUCCAGGCUCGGCCCUCCAUAACGGUUGGAAAUAGGAACUGGUAGAAACUGGACAUUUACUGGUAGAAACUGGACGUGUCGGUAAAUGAUCAGAAGUCACUGUUGGAAAACUUCCUCUGAUUUUAGCUUCGCGGAAGGCCAGGGCUCUCCAUCGCGACUGUGCUGGGUUGGGUACCGCUCUGAAUUUUAAAGUAAAUUAUUUAUUUAGUG